Molecule: transfer RNA, 72 nt
Filed under: Candidatus Woesearchaeota archaeon
Lineage: Archaea; Nanobdellati; Candidatus Woesearchaeota
Description: tRNA-Arg
Rfam family: tRNA
About the family: Transfer RNA (tRNA) molecules are approximately 80 nucleotides in length.
Source: RNAcentral
GCCCCUAUAGUCUAGCGGAUAGGAUGCAACCUUGCGGAGGUUGUGGCCCGGGUUCAAAUCCCGGUAGGGGCG